This 24-nucleotide non-coding RNA is filed under the name Rattus norvegicus (Norway rat). Lineage: Eukaryota; Metazoa; Chordata; Mammalia; Rodentia; Muridae. The record is from RNAcentral.
GUAAAGUUUGGUGAAAGGUGUUCA